This 68-nucleotide transfer RNA is filed under the name Cornufer vitiensis (Fiji tree frog). Its description in RNAcentral is "Platymantis vitiensis (Fiji tree frog) tRNA-Phe". It matches the Rfam family "tRNA". From Rfam's summary of the family: Transfer RNA (tRNA) molecules are approximately 80 nucleotides in length. Their secondary structure includes four short double-helical elements and three loops (D, anti-codon, and T loops). Lineage: Eukaryota; Metazoa; Chordata; Amphibia; Anura; Ceratobatrachidae. The record is from RNAcentral.
GCUUCUAUAGCUUAUUCAAAGCAUAGCGCUGAAAACGCUAAGAUGGUCACUAAAAAGUCCUAAAGGCA